RNAcentral lists this unclassified non-coding RNA (1011 nucleotides) under Hevea brasiliensis (rubber tree). Lineage: Eukaryota; Viridiplantae; Streptophyta; Magnoliopsida; Malpighiales; Euphorbiaceae. The record is from RNAcentral.
UUGGAUGGAGUUUUGGUGCCAAAAGUAACCAAUUCAUGUAUUUAUAUUCUAUUACCCAGAAAAAUAGAGUAAUAGAUAAAGAUGUUACUCAUAGGAUCAAAAAAUGAGAUGGAAGAGUGUGACAAGUGUGCUAUGCGAUCAUAGGAUUUCUGACAAAGUGAAAGGUAAACUUUGUAGAAUUGUGGUUAGGCUAGCUGUGUUGUAUGGGAGUUAAUGUUAGGCAUCUAAGGUACAAAAUAUUUAUAAGAUGAGUUUGACAAAAAUACAUAUCAAAAUGGAUGGCUGAUAACACAAUAUUAGGUAAAGAUUAGGAAUGACUACGUUUAGUAGAGAGUGCAUGUGGCACACAUUGGGAAUAAAGUAAGGGAGAGUCAAUUAAGAUGGUUUGAUCAUAUCCAAUGUAGAGCACCACGUAUCAAAUUCCUUAGUUGACCUUAACUAGUUUGAAAUUAAGUCUUAGGCUUCAUUUAUUUUGUGAAAAAUAUUUUUUUGAAAAACAUUUUUCACAUUUUUCUAUCUUUGGGGCACUUGAGAAAAUGGGUCAACAGCAAAUAUUUUCGUAGUUAGAGUAAAAACUAAAUUAAUUUCAAAGAAAAUGACUUUCUCUUUUUAAAAAAGGAAGGUAUUUUCUAAAUUUUGAUAAUCUUGUUAAAAUAUUAAAAUACUCAUAUAUGCAUAAUAUAAACACAUACCAUCAGUUUAACACUGCAACCAAACAAUGGAAAAUGUUUUCAUCUUGAAAAAUAAUUUAUAUAAAAAAACAUUUUCCAUUUAUAAGUUAUUUUCUGUGAAAUAAAUAGAGGCUUAAUUGGUGUUAUUUUAGUUCGUAGCAUUUCAUGCAAACUAGCUAGUUGGAUUAGAGUCUUUUGCUUUAAAACUUUGUUUGCAUAUAUUAUAUUGAGUUCAAAGUUCAAACUGAUUGCUCAGGUGUUAUUUGUUACAUGCUUCAACGAUCAGAUGCUAAUCCAAACUACUUCUAUUUUUUUAUAGAGGAACCCAAAAUAUCCUGAU